RNAcentral lists this transfer RNA (20 nucleotides) under Mochlus sundevallii (Peters' eyelid skink). Its description in RNAcentral is "Mochlus sundevalli partial tRNA-Trp". The record is from RNAcentral. Lineage: Eukaryota; Metazoa; Chordata; Lepidosauria; Squamata; Scincidae.
AGAGACUUAGGUUAACCUAC